CUUUUUCAAGGGAACAGCUUCUCCGAGGCCUUUGAUAAGCUUUGGAGCUCAUCCGUGGGAGAAUCCUGCUCUGGGGCCUUCUUGGACUGUGAGAAUUGGAAAACCUUUAAGGGUAAAGGCACAGUGGGAAGAGCAGCAUCUUUAGAAUUGUUGCUCCUGUGGCAGGAGGGCCCCUGGGCAGUCUGGGAGUCAAGAAGUUCACUGGGUUUAUCCUUGUAGUUGCCAUCUGUUUAUGACAAGUGGAGAUGGCUUUGCACUGACAGAGAGUCCACAUUUAUUUUAUUGUAAGACAUUUAUUUAUAUCUGAAAGGUGAGCCUUUUAAAAUCCUCAGUUAUGGUAGUGCGCAGGAGUACAGAGUCCUUGAGGGUGUAAACAUCCAACAGGACCUGGGCUACUCUCUAGCACACAGCCCUCUUGACACUCAUCAUGGCCAUGAACAUCGUCAGGCCCUUUCUGUUUCAUUCAUUUGUCUUCCAUUUGGCUCCCUCACUUCAUCCCUGCCUCGUUCUAGCAUCCCAUGCUCAAAGAGGCCUUACCUGGUUGCCCCACAUAAAAUCACCCCCAAUCUCUUAAAUCUCUUCACUCUAUUUGGUUGUCCUCUUUAUGUCCCCCAGAAUCUUUAUAGUCAUCUGACACUACCUUGCUCAUUUAUUUAGUUCCUUUUUGUAGAUCUGUCUUCAACCCUGGAACAUGAGCUACUCUUCUCCAUUCUAUCCCCAAGACUAGAACAAGCUGGGCCUACAGGAGAUGUUCAAUACGUGGUUGAAGAAUGCAUGAUGCUACUUGUGGGGAAGCCAACUUUGAUUUCACAGGUUCAUAUUGCCUCUGUAAUUUAACGCCAUUUUCCCCGAGAAAAAGAAGUUUAACUUAUGAUGACAUCCAACAUGCUUCAGAGCGCAAAUACGAUGAGCACUUCAGACAUGAGCAGCCUAUAUGCUGAACUUACAGAUGCAAAGGAUCUGGUCAACAAACAGCUGCUCCACCAAAAAACUCUGCAGAUACAAAGUGAGGGACAAUUCUGGAGAACUGGAAACCAAUUCCUACAAGGCUAAAAGCCUGCUGUUGCUGGCCUCAGGUGCCGGGCGACCGCGAAAGCCCCAGUCCUCAUGUCGGCCUUCCCUGGUGCAGACAGGCGCUACUGCCUACCUUCGGCCGCGAAGACCAACCCAUCAAACUCGCGCAGCUCUAAAGCACGCAGAGCCUGGUCAGGCGGUCAGCAA
RNAcentral lists this long non-coding RNA (1221 nucleotides) under Equus caballus (horse). RNAcentral describes it as "lncRNA (ENSECAG00000042047.2)". The record is from RNAcentral. Lineage: Eukaryota; Metazoa; Chordata; Mammalia; Perissodactyla; Equidae.